Meleagris gallopavo (turkey) is the source of this 2364-nucleotide long non-coding RNA. RefSeq lists it as uncharacterized. The record is from RefSeq and is a predicted model, not a curated record. Lineage: Eukaryota; Metazoa; Chordata; Aves; Galliformes; Phasianidae.
GAGAAGCUGUCCUUGACGUCCUGGAGAGGGGUUACUCGGAGCUCAUCGGGAAGUUUUCACCCAGCUGGCGCAGCAAAACGGGGGUGAGGGAGGCCGCCCUCAGCUAACGGGGGUCAACCUCCCGCCGCCGGAGGAGCCUCCCCGACGGCACAGAGUAGCCCCGGGCGGGCGCCGCGCUCCUCGCGUCCCCCGAGCUCUGGUUUUCUUCUCCCUGAAACGCUGUGUACACAAAAGGCUCGCUUCUGCCUUUCAAUUAGGCUGCUGUGCCUUACACCCAAUCUCGUGCCGUUGUUGGCGACUGAGGAGUGUUACCGGAGGAGUCCGGGAUCCCCGAGGUGCAUCAGUGCCGAAAUAAGGGAGAACAGCAGCAUCGCUCAUCCCGGCCACCAAAGGUACACCCGUUUCGGUCAAUAUUUUUUUUUUCCCCCACUUCUCCUCGGUGUUUGCUAAAAGGCGCGGAGCUGCGUGCGAGUCCCACAGCCGAAGGAGAUGCGAAGCGCUUCUUCCAGCGGACGCUGCUCCCCAUCCCCUCCAUCCUGCGGAGUGGGGGAAUGGAAGGGGCUCGAAGUGCGGGGAGGGAACGGGGGGGGAUUCGCUAUUUUCCUUGAAGAACGGUUCAGAACAGUUAUUAUUAAUGCACGCAGCGGGCACCUGCUCGGCUCCCUGCCCGCUUCUCGAGCGGUACUUUUACUGCCCGUAAGCAGCGAUCCAGGGCCAGUAAUAGGAUCAGGAAGGCAGGCGUUAGGCGGAAUGCCGCAGCGGCACCACGCGUAAAGGCGAGCUCCCGACAAACGCCUUCGGCCGAGAGGCUGUAAACGUUUUAUGGGUAAUGAGAAAGGCAAGUGUUUGGCACGAAGGGAGGGGGCAGGGUCCCAGCACCCGCUACUGGAUGGGGUCGCGCUUGUUGCUGAAUGCUGGCAUGGGGACUUCGGCCUGCCGAAUGACCUCUGAAAGCAAGCCAGUAAAAUUUACAGAGGAAAAAGAAAUAUUUAAAGUCAAGGACUCCUCAAGUAGCUGAAAAUUAACUUCUGACAACACGCGAGAUUUUUCCCUCCCCACCGUAUCAAAGAAACGCCUGUACGUUAAUUUCACCCUGAAAGAUUUGAGAAAUAACAGCACCCCAGGGCAAAUUUUCAGCUUCAGAAGGACCCUUUGAGCCAAAGCAAGCGCAGGGAGCACGCCCAAAGCUGCGCAGUACAGCCGCACUGAUUUUGCGGCGGUGUUCGCACGCUUGGCGUAUACAGAAGCGCAGAACCCUGAGUUCUUCCGACGAGAUUUUAAUUAGGAAAUGGAAUUUCCCACUCUGGAGCUGUGCCUUCGGGUAGCAGAGGCAUGAUGGCUAGAAGCUGCCGCUUUGCCGAGCACUAUUCGGCUGCGACGGUUGGGCUGGGGUUACGGUGCCAACAAGCGGAGCGGGCCGGGGCUAUCCCAAACGGCGGCUCCCUUCCUUCCGUCCUCCGUUCUUGUUUCCUUCCUUAUUUUUUUUAAUUUCUUUCUUCUUUUUUUUUUUUUUUUUCUUUCUCCCUUCCGUGUGCUGCUGAGAACCGACUCCGUGAAUUUCUCGAAGUGGCCCUUUGGCUUUAUCACUGCUUAAUGCGAACGUUCCUUUCAAGAAGAAAGCAGCAGAGAGGCAAGGCUCUUGUCGCUAAUUCGUUGUUACCGUGGACACGGUUCUAAGCAGUUCGAUUUUUAUCGAUGGAAAAGAAAACGCUGAAAAUUGAGGUAAGGAUUGGAUUAGCUCCGUGUCUGCCACCGCAGUGCAGUGUGCGCUGCGCGAUGCUUACGAGCGGAGCUGCCGCUUGCUCAGAGCUGACCUUGAAAAAGAGAAGAGCGUGGCGAGGCGGGCACCGCUCCAUCAGACUAAAGCGCAUCUGUUAUCUUUAGAUAUUUAAAUCCCUUCGUCAAGAUUAUGGCGUUAUUCCAAAUUGUAAAACGCGGCUAUUUCGCUUCUCGCUGCUGCAAGAAAAUAAACCCUCCACUUUUCCCACUCUAGAAUAGCGUUUUAAAAGAACCCAAAGCAUCAAAACGUUUUUGCUUUUUAUUUUGCUUUCCUGAUUCAACUCUGAGACGUUACAAACGAUUACGGGUUGGAAAACCCAUCGGAAACAGCGUGGUCACAUUAUGACAAAGUGAUAACCCGACGCUUGCAAAAUGGUGACAGUUGCAAAGUUGUUUUUUAUUUUGUUUUUCUUUUCUUCCCCCCCCUUUGUUUCCUUUCCUUUAAAAAUAAACCUUUCGAAAAAUAAAAUAAAUAAUAAUCCCAAAUGCUUCCGCAGUAAGUGCUAAUCCCCUUUCUCUAUUGCAAGGCCGGGCCGGGCAAUAGGAAGCUCAUUUAAUUAUUUUCAUUCUAAUCGCUUUAAUCCC